RNAcentral lists this ribosomal RNA (774 nucleotides) under uncultured Neocallimastigales. RNAcentral describes it as "partial large subunit ribosomal RNA". It matches the Rfam family "Eukaryotic large subunit ribosomal RNA", at positions 22 to 635 of the family's 3401-position model. The record is from RNAcentral. Lineage: Eukaryota; Fungi; Neocallimastigomycota; Neocallimastigomycetes; Neocallimastigales.
GUACACGCUGUGACUAGCAUAUCAAUAAGCGGAGGAAAAGAAACUAACAAGGAUUCCCCUAGUAACGGCGAGUGAAGCGGGAAGAGCUCAAAUUUGAAAUCUUAAAGGGUUUCCCUUUACGAAUUGUAGUUUAAAGAAGUGUUUUCUGUUGAGGUUUUGGUAAAAGUUCUUUGGAAUAGGACAUCAUAGAGGGUGAGAAUCCCGUAUUUGACCUUUACUUUCAACUUUGUGAUACACUUUCAAAGAGUCGGAUUGUUUGGGAAUGCAGUCCAAAAUGGGUGGUAAAUUUCAUCUAAAGCUAAAUAUUGGCGAGAGACCGAUAGCGAACAAGUACCGUGAGGGAAAGAUGAAAAGAACUUUGAAAAGAGAGUUAAACAGUACGUGAAAUUGUCAAAAGGGAAGCGUUUGACACCAGUGUUGUUUUUCUGAAAAUCAAUUAAAGAACUGUUUAUGCUAAGUUGUUUAGACUUUAUCAGCUAACUGUUUAGUUUUGAGCUUUUCUUUAAUGCACUUUUCAGUUAACAAGUCAACAUCAAUUUCUUUUGCUGUAAAAAAGCUUGAGGAAGGUGGCUUGAGAUUCGUCUUAAGUGUUUAUAGCCUCUUGCCUAUGCAGUCGGAGAGAUUGAGGUCUGCAGCGUAGAUCCUUCGGGGCUAAAUGCAUUUGUGCUAAGUUAUAGCAUUUUAUAGACAACUUGUUGACUAUGAUUUGUCUUGUAGCUUACUCGCUUAUGUUAUUUUACCUACGCUUAGGAUGUUGAAGAUGUAGCACAUCAU